This 169-nucleotide non-coding RNA is filed under the name Roseburia intestinalis. RNAcentral describes it as "FMN sequence". It matches the Rfam family "FMN riboswitch aptamer (RFN element)". From Rfam's summary of the family: The RFN element is a highly conserved domain that is found frequently in the 5'-untranslated regions of prokaryotic mRNAs that encode for flavin mononucleotide (FMN) biosynthesis and transport proteins. This element is a metabolite-dependent riboswitch that directly binds FMN in the absence of proteins. In Bacillus subtilis, the riboswitch most likely controls gene expression by causing premature transcription termination within the 5' untranslated region of the ribDEAHT operon and precluding access to the ribosome-binding site of ypaA mRNA. The record is from RNAcentral. Lineage: Bacteria; Bacillati; Bacillota; Clostridia; Lachnospirales; Lachnospiraceae.
UUAAUUCUUCGGGGCAGGGUGAUGCAGUAAGAUUUGCAGAUUCCCGACCGACGGUGAUGUAGAGUCCUGAUAAUGAUCAGAGUCAUUUACAAAGUCCGUGACCUGCUAAGGCAGCUGAUCCGGUGAGAUUCCGGAACCGACAGUAUAGUCUGGAUGAGAGAAGAUAAGC